Molecule: ribosomal RNA, 484 nt
Filed under: uncultured bacterium
Lineage: Bacteria
Description: partial 16S ribosomal RNA
Rfam family: Bacterial small subunit ribosomal RNA
Source: RNAcentral
AUUGAACGCUGGCGGCAGGCCUAACACAUGCAAGUCGAGCGGAUGAAGGGAGCUUGCUCCUGGAUUCAGCGGCGGACGGGUGAGUAAUGCCUAGGAAUCUGCCUGGUAGUGGGGGAUAACGUCCGGAAACGGGCGCUAAUACCGCAUACGUCCUGAGGGAGAAAGUGGGGGAGCUUCGGACCUCACGCUAUCAGAUGAGCCUAGGUCGGAUUAGCUAGUUGGUGGGGUAAAGGCCUACCAAGUCGAGGAUCCGUAACUGGUCUGAGAGGAUGAUCAGUCACACUGGAACUGGGACACGGUCCAUGCUCCUACGGGAGGCAGCAGUGGGGAAUAUUGGACAGUAGGCGAAAGCCUGAUCCAGCCAUGCCGCGUGUGUGAAGAAGGUCUUCGGAUUGUAAAGCACUUUAAGUUGGGAGGAAGGGCAGUAAGUUAAUACCUUGCUGUUUUGACGUUACCAACAGAAUAAGCACCGGCUAACUUCGUG